AACGAACGCUGGCGGCAGGCUUAACACAUGCAAGUCGAACGCCCCGCAAGGGGAGUGGCAGACGGGUGAGUAACGCGUGGGAAUCUACCCAAUUCUUCGGAACAACUGAGGGAAACUUCAGCUAAUACCGGAUACGCCCUACGGGGGAAAGAUUUAUCGGAAUUGGAUGAGCCCGCGUUGGAUUAGCUAGUUGGUGAGGUAAUGGCUCACCAAGGCGACGAUCCAUAGCUGGUCUGAGAGGAUGAUCAGCCACACGU
Molecule: ribosomal RNA, 257 nt
Filed under: uncultured bacterium
Lineage: Bacteria
Description: partial 16S ribosomal RNA
Rfam family: Bacterial small subunit ribosomal RNA
Source: RNAcentral